AUGAGAUGCGAGUUUGGCUUCAGCAAUCAUGAAGAUAUAUCAGGAAAUUACAAAGUUUGCUUCAAUGAAUACCUAAGUGCAGAACCAACAGAUGGAGUUCUGACGAAGUGUGGAGUAGGGGCGAAUGGCGCCAUCGAAGUCCUCGCUCCCGGACGCCUCCAUUCUCGUGUCCUUCGUCUCGGUGCACACCCCCCGCUUCGUUGUCGCCGCCUGAUGUGGCCCCCGAGCGUAGCCUCCCUGCCAUGGCCACCGCCCCGCCUCUCCAUUUUCUCCUUCUUCGUCUCUGCUCGCCCGUCUCCGUGCUCCCCUCCCACCUCGCGCGCCGCCGCCUGA
Molecule: ribosomal RNA, 333 nt
Filed under: Triticum aestivum (bread wheat)
Lineage: Eukaryota; Viridiplantae; Streptophyta; Magnoliopsida; Poales; Poaceae
Description: partial small subunit ribosomal RNA
Source: RNAcentral